GACGAACGCUGGCGGCGUGCCUAAUACAUGCAAGUAGAACGCUGAAGGAGGAGCUUGCUUCUCCGGAUGAGUUGCGAACGGGUGAGUAACGCGUAGGUAACCUGCCUGGUAGCGGGGGAUAACUAUUGGAAACGAUAGCUAAUACCGCAUAACAGUAGAUGUUGCAUGACAUUUGCUUAAAAGGUGCAAUUGCAUCACUACCAGAUGGACCUGCGUUGUAUUAGCUAGUUGGUGAGGUAACGGCUCACCAAGGCGACGAUACAUAGCCGACCUGAGAGGGUGAUCGGCUACACUGGGACUGAGACACGGCCCAGACUCCUACGGGAGGCAGCAGUAGGGAAUCUUCGGCAAUGGACGGAAGUCUGACCGAGCAACGCCGCGUGAGUGAAGAAGGGUUUCGGAUCGUAAAGCUCUGUUGUAAGAGAAGAACGAGUGUGAGAGUGGAAAGUUCACACUGUGACGGUAUCUUACCAGAAAGGGACGGCUAACUACGUG
Molecule: ribosomal RNA, 495 nt
Filed under: uncultured bacterium
Lineage: Bacteria
Description: partial 16S ribosomal RNA
Rfam family: Bacterial small subunit ribosomal RNA
Source: RNAcentral